GUUGUAUAAUUUGUACAUUUGCGUAAUAUUUUAUAGAACUUUUUACGAUUUUCAGGACACUUUCACAUAUGUCGCCUCAUUUAUUCUUUACGAAAAGUGCUUACCACACUGACUCAAAAAUAGUUAUGAUUUUGUUUGUUGAACCUGGGUUACGAGUAAGGCUCCAGGCAGCAGAGUGUGAAAGGUGUCAGACAUCGCAGAUUUGGUUACUGUGGGUGCACCGUCAGCAGGAAGCCCGUGGACGGGAUGAUGAAAACAAAUUGAUGGAAGUUGCAGGGGCCAUGAAAGUUGAAAAAGAGGCUUUCUCUAAGUUUUUCAGGGUCCUUCCCAAAGCACUGGUAUCACAAAUGGGAUCAGCAUAUGGCUCCCAGGCUGUCUACUUUGAAGGAAGUUGACUAUACAAUUUCUUCUGUGUUUCUUCUACGUUUAUUUUAACAAAUCAACUUACGAUUACAUUUUGUGUGGUAGAACCCGAGGCCUGGCAAUCUUUCAGAUGCAGAAUGCCAAAAGAUGAAUCUGGAGGCUACCAGAAGGCUGAAGAGGUUGGCUAGAAUAAAGCCUCUGCUGGAAGGUGCUGAAAGGAAUUCUUGUCUGGAGACCCUAACAAGAGAAGGAAGAGAUCUUCGCUAAAAUCUGAGGCUCCCAAGGAAUGACAUUAGAGUGCCUCCAUGACAGGGCUGUGGGGACACGAUGUUUGCAGAGCUUUGUUUGAUUUGGAAUUUUAAAGCUCAGUAAGGAAUUAAGAUUGCUGGUGGCUUGCCUUUCACACUAAUUUAUUUGGAGGGAAAAAAAAGUCUGCAGAUGAUUCUAUCUGCGUAACAAAAAAAGUCUUCAAAACAGCUCCCUUGUCGCCAGCAUCAACAGCAGCUGAACAGGGCUGGGCUCUUGCAUAGUGAGAAUUAUUCCUUUCAUUUCAAACAAAUCAAAGAUGUCCUAGGCAAGCAAGAGCCCUGGUUACACGUGAUCAAAAUAAACUAGUAUUAGACUUGCCUAUCGAAAGUAACGAUUAAGUCUACCGCUGAAGUCUGAGUACACUUUUUAUUGUUCCAUAAGGAUUUUGCAGGAAAGAGAGAAGUCAGCUUUCAAAAAGCUAAGCUAAUACGGGGAAAACAAGAAGCAUCUGAAGAUCUUCUCUUCUCUGAAUUCUUUCCUGCUGGAGGUUCCCUCAAGCAAAUAG
RNAcentral lists this long non-coding RNA (1177 nucleotides) under Equus caballus (horse). Its description in RNAcentral is "lncRNA (ENSECAG00000054900.1)". The record is from RNAcentral. Lineage: Eukaryota; Metazoa; Chordata; Mammalia; Perissodactyla; Equidae.